GGGGAUUUAGCUCAGCGGCAAAAGUGCCUGCCUUGGAAGCAGGCAGUCGUGAGUUUAUUUCCCG
Molecule: transfer RNA, 64 nt
Organism: Cavia porcellus (domestic guinea pig)
Lineage: Eukaryota; Metazoa; Chordata; Mammalia; Rodentia; Caviidae
Rfam family: tRNA
About the family: Transfer RNA (tRNA) molecules are approximately 80 nucleotides in length. Their secondary structure includes four short double-helical elements and three loops (D, anti-codon, and T loops).
Source: Rfam